Molecule: long non-coding RNA, 2925 nt
Organism: Cercocebus atys (sooty mangabey)
Lineage: Eukaryota; Metazoa; Chordata; Mammalia; Primates; Cercopithecidae
Exons: 2
Source: RefSeq, a predicted model, not a curated record
UGACACAUGGGGUUUAUGGGGAUCACAAUUCAAAAUGAGAUUUUGGGUGGGGAAACAGCCAAACCAUAUUAAGGAGGAAAGAUACAUUCAUGAAUCUCCUAUUUUUUACAUUUAGACUGUUCUUUGGAAUGAUCUGGAUUUGAAUGAUGUGUUAUUUAUAUUUGGCUAUCCUAAUUAUUCAAACAUGAACUGAAGAAAUACUUUUAUUGGAGAAGGGAAUGGAGGAGGGAGGCAACUAAAAAUUUUAAGAGUCUGAAAACAAAACAAAACAAAACAAAUGAAGCCAAACUUAUACUCAGGAUAAAAAACCAUGCAAUUCUUUUCUUUCAAGGUGUAUUUGGCGUAUAUUUAUCGAGGUUAGCUAAGCCAUAGGGUGUCAGUGGACAGAAAACAGUCAAGAUGCCUAGAAUUUGGAUUCUGGUGGCAAAAAAUAGUCAAUAAAGAAAGACAUGAGAAAAUAAGGUGAGUUCAGGGAGUGUGAAAUGUCAAGAUUUUGGUAAUUACACUAUAAAAUGCAGGUAUAAAAUAUGUGUGUUCCUUAUUCCUUCAAUGCCUCCUCAGAGAUAAUCCCUGGUAAAUUAGGGGCUUUCAUGCACAUUUUUUCCUUUUUUUUUUUUUUUUUUAAUGGAGGCAGCCAAAAGACACGGCCAGAGCCUGAGCAGGAUCAAUAUCAUCCUCUUUUAAAAGCUCCACAAUCCCCUAUACAACUACAUCCAAUCUCCAGUGCUCUUAUAAGAAGAGGACAGACAUACAGUAAAGAUGGAGACAGGGACUAAAAGCCAAGGAAUGCCAGCAGGCACCAGGACCUAAGUGAGAGGCAGCGAACAGAUUCUUCUCCAGAGCCUCCAAAGGAACCAACUUUGCUGACAUUUGAUUUUGGACUGCUGGACUCUAGAACUGUAAGUGAAUACAUUUCUGUUCAUUUAAGACAUCAGUCUGUGGUACUUUGUAGGGGCAGCUCUAGAAAAUUUAUACCUAACUCAAUGGAAAUAACUAUCUUUAUCAUUAGACAUCAUUCUGGAUUAUAUAUAUAUGUAAUGUACAUACAUAUUAAAAUUCCAGAUGUAUCCAUAUAUCAUAUCAUAUAUUCAUACCAUGUAUGGAUAUAUAAACCACAUAUCUCACUCCCACUGGUUAGAUAGCUACAGAUAUGUACAGACAGAUGGUUAGAUUAACAGAAAUAUUUCUAUUAUAAUGGGAGUAAUUCUAUACAUUCUAUAUUAAAUGUGAUUUUACUUGAAUGUAUCUGAAGUAAAAGAAUAGGUCUAUCCUUCUAUUGCACUGUUUUCCUAUUUCUGUGCUAAAAUCUUGUCGUUCAGUUUAUUCAAUUUUGUAUAGGGCAAACCCGUACUAUUUGCUACGCUCUAAAUGUUUGUGUCCCCUCCCAAACCCAGAUGUUGAAAUCUAAUCAGCAAUGUGAUGGUAUUUGGAGGUAGGGCUGCUGGGAAACGAUGGUAUUAGGAGGUGGGGCUGCUGGCUCCGCCCUCAUGAAUUGGAUUAGUUCCUAUCUUAGUCCAUUCAGGCUACUAUAAGGCUACCUCAGACUGGGUCAUUUAUAAACAGCAGAAAUUGAUCCUUCAGAGUUCUGGAGGCUGGGAGUCCAAGAUUAAGGCACUAGCAGAUUCAGUGUCUGGUGAGACCUCACUCUCUGCUUCAUAGUGACACCUUCUUUCUAUGUCUCCAGAUGGUAAAGAAGAGGUGAACAAGUUUCCUUGGGCUUCUUUUAUAAGGCCAUUGCUAUGGCUUAAAUGUAUGUGUCUCUCUAGAAUUCCUAUGUUGGAGGCUAAAAUUCACUAUAAUAACAUUAAGAGCUGAAGCCAUUUUGGAAGUGAUCAAGAAAUGAGGCUCCAUCCUCUUGAAUGGGAUUAGUAUCCUUAUAAAAGAGGUUGACAGGAGUGUCCUAGUCCCCCCCGCUUUUUUUUUUUUUUUCCCUUUUGCCUCCCAUCUCUUCCCUCAUGUGAGGAUACAGUGUUCGUCCCCUUCUGUGGACCCAGCAACAAGGCACUGUCUUGGAAGCAGAUAGCAAGCCCUUAUCAGACACUGAAUCUGCUGGUACCUUUAUCUUGGACUUCCUAGCCUUCAGAACUCUGAGAAAUAAUGUCUAUUAUUUAUAAAUCACUCAGUCUAAAGUAUUCUGUUAUAGCAGUGGGAAUGGACUGAGAUAGGCACUAAUUCCAGUUAUGAGGUUAGAGCCCUCAUGACCUAAUCAAUAUCCCAAAGCCCCAACUUUUAAUACUAUUGCACUGGUGAUUAGGUUUCAACAUAUGAAUUUGAGGGAACACAAACUUUCAGAUCCUAGAAGUGCCACUGAAAGACAGCUCAGAGAGCUAGCUCGCCCCUUCUGUCACGUGAGGGCACUGUGAGUAGGUGCCUUCUGUGAGUCAUCUGUGAAUUUCUGGGUCCUCACCAGCCACCAGAUCGGCCGGCACCUGGAUCUUGGAUUUCCAACUUUCAGAACUGGCUCAACAAUGACAUAGUUUGUCGUACCACAUAGGGACGAAGCUUUUCGUGGCUACGGUUGAGGAGGUGCUGGUUAUGUGCAAGGGCUUUGCACGGUAUGACCUAGGUGCACGUCCCUGCUCUGUCACCUACUAGUUGUGUGACCCUUAUUUAACCUCUGUGGACCUCAGGGUCCUAUCUCUGAAACGGGAAUAAUAGUAGUACUUAAUUCCGAAUUGUAAGAAUUAAGCACUUGUUAAUACGUUAAAGCAUUUAGAAGGCACAUUAAACCCUAUAGCAAGUAAGCAUUAGGCUACAUUCAUCAAAACCUGCUGCAUACUUACCUCCUUCAAGUCUCAUAAGCACUUCAGAAAGUGUGGUAUCUCCAUUCUACGAACGAGGAAAGUAAGCUCAAGACAGCAAGUGCUGAGUGCAAGUCACUUGGAUAUACAUUUUAGGGCUGCCCCGCAAGACCAGCUCCUAGAA